RNAcentral lists this long non-coding RNA (599 nucleotides) under Rosa chinensis. RNAcentral's name for it is "sRNA RchiOBHm_Chr0c32g0501621". The record is from RNAcentral. Lineage: Eukaryota; Viridiplantae; Streptophyta; Magnoliopsida; Rosales; Rosaceae.
CCGGUCACCACAGGGGCGCCUCAACCCGCUCGUGAUACCAGUGACCUGGGAUUGGGGAGUUUUGGCCGUGAAAGCCCGGAUCGAAGCAAGAAGUGCUCCGGUUGCAGUUUUGGGAUUUUGCCGAUUCCCGGCCAUUCCGGCCACCUCCGGCCACCAUAUUCCCAUCGAAGGUUCGGUUUUUGAUGGAGAUUAUUUCCCCUAAGGUGGUUCAUUCCAAUUUGUAUUGUAGAAGUCGAAUUGACAAUUUUUCAUUUCUAGGGUUCUUGAAGCUUCGGGGCUUUCCUUCACCGGCUUGAUUCGGCCACUUCGAGGUAAAAUUGGAUGAUGUUGUAGUUUGGAAGUUGAUUGGGCUUGUUGUGUAGAUGCUAGUGCCGGAGUUUGGUGAUCAUCGGAGGAGGUCGCCGCUGGCGCGUGGUCCCCACUCGCCGCCACUGUAGGUAGCGCGUGGAGGCGCGUAAAGCAGUAUUUUAAUUGUCGUUUUAACCCCAUAUACUCUAUAACGAUUGUAGAAUGUAAUGUAUGAAGUUUGGUGGAAAUUGGAGGAAUUACGAAUUGUGUUUAAUUGCUUAAUUAACGAUUUAUGUGAAUUCGAUCGCCGG